GAGAGUGGGUAGUCCGCACGAGCGCACCUCACUUUUAGUUGCCAUCAUUAAGUUGGGCACUCUGAAAGAACUGCCAGUGAUAAGCUGGAGGAAGGUGGGGAUGACGUCAAGUCCUCAUGGCCCUUACGUGUUGGGCUACACACGUGCUACAAUGGUAUCUACAACAGGAAGCAAGACUGCGAGGUCAAGCAAAUCCUUAAAAGAUACCUCAGUUCGGAUUGCACUCUGCAACUCGAGUGCAUGAAGCUGGAAUUACUAGUAAUCGUGGAUCAGCGUGCCACGGUGAAUGCGUUCCCGGGUCUUGUACACACCGCCCGUCACACCAUGGGAGUUGGUUCUACCUUAAGGCAAGGUUUUAAACCCUUGACCACGGUAUAGUCAGCGACUGGGGUGAAGUCGUAACAAGGUAGCCGUAGGGGAACCUGCGGCUGGAUUACCUCCUUUCU
Molecule: ribosomal RNA, 446 nt
Filed under: uncultured Pelagibacterales bacterium
Lineage: Bacteria; Pseudomonadati; Pseudomonadota; Alphaproteobacteria; Candidatus Pelagibacterales
Description: bacterial SSU rRNA
Rfam family: Bacterial small subunit ribosomal RNA
Source: RNAcentral